UUAAGUUCAGCGGGUAUUCCUACCUGAUCCGAGGUCAACCUUAGAAAGAUUCUCCCUGAGGGGAGGCAGACCGUGUCCCGUAAACCCAUGUGUCCGAUACGUGUCCCGUGAAGAACUCAGUCGUACCGGGGGUCCAACGAGGCCGCCGUCAUUGUCUUUGGGACGGGGCAGGAGCCCCCGAGGGGACCUCCACCCAAACC
RNAcentral lists this unclassified non-coding RNA (200 nucleotides) under Herpotrichiellaceae sp. Its description in RNAcentral is "partial internal transcribed spacer 2". The record is from RNAcentral. Lineage: Eukaryota; Fungi; Ascomycota; Eurotiomycetes; Chaetothyriales; Herpotrichiellaceae.